Molecule: long non-coding RNA, 290 nt
Filed under: Mytilus galloprovincialis (Mediterranean mussel)
Lineage: Eukaryota; Metazoa; Mollusca; Bivalvia; Mytilida; Mytilidae
Source: RNAcentral
CUGGUAGUAAUUAUAGGCAACAAACUUAUGAAUAUGAGCGAUGUAAAUAUAAAAAAGAAGAUGUGGUAUGAUUGCCAAUGAGACAACUAUCCACAAAAGACCAAAAUGACACAGACAUUAACAACUAUAGGUCACCGUACGGCCUUCAACAAUGAGCAAAGCCCAUACCACAUAGUCAGUUAUAAAAGACCCCGAUAAGACAAUGUAAAACAAUUCAAACGAGAAAACUAACGGCCUUAUUUAUGUAAAAAAAAAUUAACGAAAAACAAAUAUGUAACACAUAAAAAAAC